AGUGAACGCUGGCGGUAGGCCUAACACAUGCAAGUCGAACGGCAGCACAGUAAGAGCUUGCUCUUACGGGUGGCGAGUGGCGGACGGGUGAGGAAUACAUCGGAAUCUACUUUUUCGUGGGGGAUAACGUAGGGAAACUUACGCUAAUACCGUAUACGACCUACGGGUGAAAGCAGGGGAUCUUCGGACCUUGCGCGAUUGAAUGAGCCGAUGUCGGAUUAGCUAGUUGGCGGGGUAAAGGCCCACCAAGGCGACGAUCCGUAGCUGGUCUGAGAGGAUGAUCAGCCACACUGGAACUGAGACACGGUCCAGACUCCUACGGGAGGCAGCAGUGGGGAAUAUUGGACAAUGGGCGCAAGCCUGAUCCAGCCAUACCGCGCGGGUGAAGAAGGCCUUCGGGUUGUAAAGCCCUUUUGUUGGGAAAGAAAAGCAGCAGGUUAAUACCCCGCUGUUCUGACGGUACCCAAAGAAUAAGCACCGGCUAACUUCGUG
This 492-nucleotide ribosomal RNA is filed under the name uncultured bacterium. Its description in RNAcentral is "partial 16S ribosomal RNA". It matches the Rfam family "Bacterial small subunit ribosomal RNA", at positions 29 to 507 of the family's 1533-position model. The record is from RNAcentral.